Molecule: transfer RNA, 75 nt
Filed under: Ictidomys tridecemlineatus (thirteen-lined ground squirrel)
Lineage: Eukaryota; Metazoa; Chordata; Mammalia; Rodentia; Sciuridae
Description: Spermophilus tridecemlineatus (thirteen-lined ground squirrel) tRNA
Rfam family: tRNA
About the family: Transfer RNA (tRNA) molecules are approximately 80 nucleotides in length. Their secondary structure includes four short double-helical elements and three loops (D, anti-codon, and T loops).
Source: Rfam by way of RNAcentral
GGGGGUGUAGCUCAGUUGGUAGAGUGUUUGUGUCUCACAAACACAAAGCUGUGGGUUCAAUUUCCAGCACACACA